AUGAAUCCGUCCUCGGCCCCGGGUCCGGACGGCCUUCCGGUGAAAUUCUUCCAGACCUUCUGGAAUGUGAUUAAGCCGGAAAUCAUGGCCAUUUUCGAUGAGUUCUAUGUUGGGACCAUCGACCUUGGUCGCCUCAACUAUGGGAUCAUCUCGCUCAUUCCCAAAGUGCCGGGGGCCUCCGACAUCCACCAGUUCCGCCUGAUCACGGUGAUCAAUGUGAUCUUCCGGAUUCUGGCUAAAGGGUACGCCAAUAGGGUGACCCUGCUCGCGGACCUCAUUACCCACCCCAACCAGUCCGCCUUC
RNAcentral lists this ribosomal RNA (303 nucleotides) under Triticum aestivum (bread wheat). RNAcentral describes it as "partial small subunit ribosomal RNA". The record is from RNAcentral. Lineage: Eukaryota; Viridiplantae; Streptophyta; Magnoliopsida; Poales; Poaceae.